CCUACGGGUGGCUGCAGUGAGGAAUAUUGGUCAAUGGGCGCGAGCCUGAACCAGCCAAGUAGCGUGAAGGAUGACUGCCCUACGGGUUGUAAACUUCUUUUAUAAAGGAAUAAAGUGAGGCACGUGUGCCUUUUUGAAGUUCUUUUAUGAAUAAGAAUCGGCUACCUCCUGCCAAGCAGCGGCGGUAAAACGGAGGAUCCGAGCGUUAUCCGGAUUUAUGGGGUUUAAAGGGAGCGUAGAUGGUUUGUUAAGUCAGUUGUGAAAGUUUGCGGCUCAACCGUAAAAUUGCAAUUGAUACUGGCAGUCUUGAGUACAGUUGAGGUAGGCGGAAUUCGUGGUGUAGCGGUGAAAUGCUUAGAUAUCACGAAGAACUCCGAUUGCGAAGGCAGCUUACUAAACUGCCACUGACAUUGAUGCUCGAAAGUGUGGGUAUCAAACAGGAUUAGAUACCCUUGUAGUC
RNAcentral lists this ribosomal RNA (460 nucleotides) under uncultured bacterium. RNAcentral's name for it is "partial 16S ribosomal RNA". It matches the Rfam family "Bacterial small subunit ribosomal RNA", at positions 338 to 795 of the family's 1533-position model. The record is from RNAcentral.